This is a non-coding RNA of Punica granatum (pomegranate), 2123 nucleotides long. The record is from RefSeq and is a predicted model, not a curated record. NCBI's taxonomy places the organism in Eukaryota, Viridiplantae, Streptophyta, Magnoliopsida, Myrtales, Lythraceae.
CUGCGGGUAUAUGUUUAAGUUCUCAUGCCACGGCCAUUGAACAAGAAAGACACAAACAGGGAGGAUUACGGUAUUGUGAUUAGUCCCGUGCAAGAUAGAAAGAGCAGAUCUAACCCGUCUAUCUGAAGCACUUAUAAUGGUUAUAUCAUUGGCCUGCUUUGGAAUCUACCGUUUCCAAUCACCAAUAUAUAUAAGCACUGAGCAUACAUGAGAAAGGAAGCAAAUACCAAUCCCUUCCAUGGAAGUUCCAAGUGAGGAGAACCAAAUGGACAGCCCAAAGAAGUGUCUCCGAGUGAUCCUCUUCCCGGUCCCCUUACAAGGCCACAUAAACCCACUCAUUCAGCUUGCAGGCAUCUUAUACUCUCGGGGCUUCUCGAUCUCCAUAAUUCAAUUUGGCUUCAAUUCCAUCAACCCUUCCACUUACCCUCACUUCAACUUCCACUCCAUCCUGCCCACCCUGUCUGAGACCGAUGCCAACACAGGGGAUGUCAUAGCUUUUGCGCUGAAGCUUAACUGCUGCUGCUUUUCUCCGUUUAGGGAAUGUUUCUCAAAUAUUCUGUCAGAUACUUCAAAGGGUCGGAUCGCCUGUCUGAUAACUGAUGCAGCCUGGUACUUCACUCAAGCUAUUGCGGAUGAGUAUAACAUCCGGAGGUUGGCUGUGCGGACAACAAGCAUCUGCUCUUUUCUUGCCUUCGCUGCCCUUCCGCUUCUCCGUGAAAAAGGUUAUAUUCCUCUAGAAGAGUCUCGAUUAGAAGAGCCUAUUCCUGAGCUCACACCAUGCAAGAUCAAGGACAUCCACAUGAUCAAGUCGGGAAACUUCGAGGACAUCUUCAGGUACGUAACCAACGUGGUCAGAGGAAACAGGGCCUCUUCCGGACUUAUCUGGAAUACAUUCGAGGACCUCGAACGGGCUAAGAUAGCAGAGUUUUCUCGGGAAUCCCCAGCUCCUGUUUUCCCGAUAGGCCCAUUUCAUAAGUACUGCCUUGCCUCCUCCAGUAGCUUACUAGAACCUGACAAAAGCUCGCUUUCGUGGCUUGAGAAGCAAGCCACCAACUCCGUUAUUUAUGUGAGCUUUGGUAGUCUCGCAGUGAUUAAUGAGAAGGAGUUCCAGGAGAUAGGUUGGGGGCUUGUCAAUAGCAAGCAGCCAUUUCUGUGGGUGGUCCGCCCCGGGUUGGUCCCUGGGGUUCAACGGCUUGACCGGCUUCUUGAAGGAUUCCUCAAGGUGGCAGGGGAGAGGGGACUUGUGGUCAAGUGGGCCCCGCAGCAGGCAGUCCUGGCCCACCAAGCCACAGGUGGGUUCUGGACACACGGUGGGUGGAACUCGACUCUGGAAAGCAUCUGUGAAGGGGUCCCAAUGAUCUGCCAGCCAGCCUUUGGGGACCAGAGGGUGAACACAAGAUACGUGAGUGAUGUGUGGAGGGUGGGGAUCCACUUGGAGAAUCGUAUCGAAAGGGGAGAGAUCCAGAGGACAAUCAGGAGGCUGAUGGGGAGUGAAGAAGGGGAGGAGAUGAGAGGGAGGAUCAGGAGUCUCAAGGAGAAGGGAGAGGCUUGUCUUCGACCCGGAGGGGCUUCAUACAAGUCUCUUGAUAGACUGACCGAUUACAUAUCAGAAAUCUGAAUGACUAAGCAGCUGAAUUCGAGUUCUGGUGGUGAAACUCUGGGCAAGAUUCAUAAGAAGCUGGAUGAGCAAGAAUUUCUAGCUUAAAGAUCGAAAUCGAACCUGUUAAUAAUCAGAACGAAAGCUGCAGUUUCCAAGCAGGUCUGCCUAGCUAUUCUUUUUAAUCCAAGCUGUUCGGCAAUGAGUUCAACAUUCGGAGGCUGAUAUUAUGGACUACACUGUUGGCUCGUUUCUUCACUUUGCUGCGCUCCCAAACCUCUAACUCCAAGAUUUAUACAUCACGCAAAAGAGAUAUCCAUGUUCUUUACAUAUUAGUGAAGAAGGAUAGAUGAGAUCCUGGUUUUAUGAUAUCUCAUCUGGAUGCAGUUUCUCCUCCUCUGGUCCAUCUCGACGUGAUCAGAAAGGGCAACUUGGAGGACAUCUCUGGUUUAUGACCGUCCGAGGCGUCUUCAGGAGCUAUCUAUCAGGAACACAUUCGAAGAAUCCGACUGGACCAAACAGAAUA